UCCUACGGGAGGCAGCAGUGGGGAUUCUGCACAAUGGGCGCAAGCCUGAUGCAGCCAUGCCGCGUGUAUGAAGAAGGCCUUCGGGUUGUAAAGUACUUUCAGUCGUGAGGAAGGUGGUGUUGUUAAUAGCAGCAUCAUUUGACGUUAGCGACAGAAGAAGCACCGGCUAACUCCGUGCCAGCAGCCGCGGUAAUACGGAGGGUGCGAGCGUUAAUCGGAAUUACUGGGCGUAAAGCGCAUGCAGGUGGUGGAUUAAGUCAGAUGUGAAAGCCCGGGGCUCAACCUCGGAACCGCAUCUGAAACUGGUUCACUAGAGUACUGUAGAGGGGGGUAGAAUUUCAGGUGUAGCGGUGAAAUGCGUAGAGAUCUGAAGGAAUACCGGUGGCGAAGGCGGCCCCCUGGACAGAUACUGACACUCAGAUGCGAAAGCGUGGGGAGCAAACAGGAUUAGAUACCCUGGUAGUCCACGCCGUAAACGAUGUCUACUUGGAGGUUGUGGCCUUGAGCCGUGGCUUUCGGAGCUAACGCGUUAAGUAGACCGCCUGGGGAGUACGGUCGCAAGAUUAAAACUCAAAUGAAUUGACGGGGGCCCGCACAAGCGGUGGAGCAUGUGGUUUAAUUCGAUGCAACGCGAAGAACCUUACCUACUCUUGACAUCUACAGGAUCCUGCGGAGACGCGGGAGUGCCUUCGGGAACUGUAAGACAGGUGCUGCAUGGCUGUCGUCAGCUCGUGUUGUGAAAUGUUGGGUUAAGUCCCGCAACGAGCGCAACCCUUAUCCUUGUUUGCCAGCAAGUAAUGUUGGGAACUCCAGGGAGACUGCCGGUGAUAAACCGGAGGAAGGUGGGGACGACGUCAAGUCAUCAUGGCCCUUACGAGUAGGGCUACACACGUGCUACAAUGGCGCAUACAGAGGGCAGCAAGCUAGCGAUAGUGAGCGAAUCCCAAAAAGUGCGUCGUAGUCCGGAUUGGAGUCUGCAACUCGACUCCAUGAAGUCGGAAUCGCUAGUAAUCGUAGAUCAGAAUGCUACGGUGAAUACGUUCCCGGGCCUUGUACACACCGCCCGUCACACCAUGGGAGUGGGCUGCAAAGAACG
Molecule: ribosomal RNA, 1096 nt
Filed under: Vibrio sp.
Lineage: Bacteria; Pseudomonadati; Pseudomonadota; Gammaproteobacteria; Vibrionales; Vibrionaceae
Description: bacterial SSU rRNA
Rfam family: Bacterial small subunit ribosomal RNA
Source: RNAcentral